Long non-coding RNA from Mya arenaria, 491 nucleotides. RefSeq lists it as uncharacterized. The record is from RefSeq and is a predicted model, not a curated record. The transcript has 8 exons. Lineage: Eukaryota; Metazoa; Mollusca; Bivalvia; Myida; Myidae.
CAAACACUAAGUGCGAUCAAAUGUUGAUCGGCUUUCACAUAAUGUAGAGGAUCUUAGAGGAUUAUUCUCUGAUGGAAUAGGUAAUUACAAAAACAUCCUCGAGGACUGCUGUUAGUGAACCAGGGCCACAUAAGAUUCCUCCUAGGAUUAAGGAAAAUGUGAAAUACAGCAGUAUUCAGCAAGUGCCGCAUGAGAUUCCUCCUAGGAUUAAGGAAUAUGAGAAAUACAGCAAUAUUCAGCAAGGCAAACUCGUGUGGAUAUGCAAUUUCGAGCAAGCACCCAAAUCGUUAAAAGCCAUGAUAGAAAAUAUGUUUGCUCCAUGUAAACCAGCAUUCAAGAAACAGCAUCACAUGAUGGGGACUUAUCCGGGCAAAUCCUGCAAAUAUCAGAUAGAGUCUGAAUUAACAAAAACAGACAACACCGAUUGCUUCAUUUGCAUAGUUUCCUCGUACGGCAAUUAUUACAAUAUUUGCUAUGAAGGAAAACCGGAU